RNAcentral lists this ribosomal RNA (497 nucleotides) under uncultured bacterium. RNAcentral describes it as "partial 16S ribosomal RNA". It matches the Rfam family "Bacterial small subunit ribosomal RNA", at positions 28 to 507 of the family's 1533-position model. The record is from RNAcentral.
GAUGAACGCUGGCGGCGUGCCUAAUACAUGCAAGUCGAGCGAACGGACGAGAAGCUUGCUUCUCUGAUGUUAGCGGCGGACGGGUGAGUAACACGUGGCUAACCUACCUAUAAGACUGGGAUAACUUAGGGAAACCGGAGCUAAUACCGGAUAAUAUUUUGAACCGCAUGGUUCAAAAGUGAAAGACGGUCUUGCUGUCACUUAUACAUGGAUCCGCGCUGCAUUAGCUAGUUGGUAAGGUAACGGCUUACCAAGGCAACUAUGCAUAGCCGACCUGAGAGGGUGGACGCCCAGACUGGAACAGAGACACGGUCCAGACUCCUGCGGGGGGCAGCAGUAGGGAAUCUUCCGCGAUGGGCGAAAGCCUGACGGUGCAACGCCGGGUGAGUGAUGAAGGUGUUCGGAUCGUAAAACUCUGUUAGUAGUGAAGAACAUAUGUGUAAGUAACUGUGCACAUCUUGACGGUACCGAGUCAGAAAGCCACGGCUAACUACGUG